GGAUUUAAUUAGGGAACUCUACAGUUUUUUUAUUAUUUUAUUUUUUCAUUUUAAUUCUUUUUUAGUUUAUCUUAGUUUAUACAUUUAAGUUAGCAUUAAAAUAUCAGUUAGUUAGUAAGUGGUCUGGUGGAGGGAAGUGGCUUCUAAAUCUUUAGUGUAGUGGGUUCAAUACUCCUAGGCAUAGUUUUUCUUUCUUUUAAUAUUUUCUUUUAUAUUUAUGCUUUAUUAUUCAUAUUUCUUUUUUUUAUUUAUUGUUUAAUAAUAUGAUUUGUUUUUUUCUUUUAAUUGCAUCAUGCAUUCGAAACCAUUUUUAAAAUUAUAAAAAUCAUAUUUUUCUCGAUUUAAUAUUGAGCCCUUUUUCACACCCUUGUAAGUCGAUUGCUUUUUUAAGCAUCGCCGUCAACCUCACAUAGCUUACUCUUGGGCUUUCUUACAAUGAGCCGGUUCUCUU
Molecule: long non-coding RNA, 451 nt
Filed under: Lathyrus oleraceus (garden pea)
Lineage: Eukaryota; Viridiplantae; Streptophyta; Magnoliopsida; Fabales; Fabaceae
Description: Pisum sativum (pea) long non-coding RNA (PSAT_LNC010162)
Source: RNAcentral